RNAcentral lists this long non-coding RNA (782 nucleotides) under Androctonus crassicauda. Lineage: Eukaryota; Metazoa; Arthropoda; Arachnida; Scorpiones; Buthidae. The record is from RNAcentral.
UGCCGCUUUUAUAUUAUUCAUCAGGAUUAUAGAGAGGUAAAUGAACCCUAAACUGAGAAUAGAGUGGCUAGAACAGAAAUAAGGAUUGUCCACCAUAGAGGGAUUAUUUGAUUUUUUAAGGUUGUCUUUAAGGAUGUGGUGUUUGCAGUUUUCUGAUGAUAAUUAUUGUAAAAGUGGAAAAGGCAAACACUCUCUUCCUAACAGAUAUAAUAAGCCUUUCUACAGGAAGGCAUAUGACAGCAGGAAUAACCUGAACUCUCAGUAUGAGAAAAAUGAAGACACAAAAAAGUAAGAUCAACAUUUUGGGAAAUAUGACCAAAAAGCAUUCCACAUAAGUGAAGAAACUGAAGCUGCACAUGACUUGGAAAAUGCCAAUGGUGACCCAAGCAACCAGGAAGAUUAUUAAGAUUUCUGGCGUACUGAAGGGAAAGCCUUUAAAUGCUAUUCUGGAUAUGGAACUAAUAUAUCUUGUAUCUCAGUGGGCAUUUUUAAACAAUUUAGAUUUCAACUCAUUAUGAAUUUGGCUAUCUCUUUUCAGCAGGUCAGCUCAAAAUCUAAGAGUUUGGGUUGCAUAAAACUGAAACUGGAAAUUGGGAGGAUGACUAAAGAAGUAGAGGCUCAUGUGAUAAGAGGACUUAAUGAGGAUUUUAUUUUGUUGCUCAAUUUAGCUAAAUAUUAUGAAAUAGAGGUGGACAUCAGCCAACACCUCUUAUUCCAGAGCAACUACUGAUCGUGCAGGUGAAUAGAAACAGCAAGCAAAGGGAAGGGGUGCCAUGGGGGAG